Molecule: ribosomal RNA, 427 nt
Filed under: uncultured bacterium
Lineage: Bacteria
Description: bacterial SSU rRNA
Rfam family: Bacterial small subunit ribosomal RNA
Source: RNAcentral
CUAAGAAUCUUCCGCAAUGGGGGAAACCCUGACGGAGCGACGCCGCGUGGACGAAGAAGGCCGGAAGGUUGUAAAGUCCUUUUGCAGAUGAAGAAUAAGGUGAAGAGGGAAUGCUUCAUUGAUGACGUUAGUCUGUGAAUAAGCCCCGGCUAAUUACGUGCCAGCAGCCGCGGUAACACGUAAGGGGCGAGCGUUGUUCGGAAUUAUUGGGCGUAAAGGGCGUGUAGGCGGUGGAGUAAGCUUGGUGUGUAAGGCUACGGCUUAACCGUAGUUGUGCGCUGAGAACUGCUUUGCUAGAGUCCGGAAGGGGGAGGUAGAAUUCCUGGUGUAGGGGUGAAAUCUGUAGAUAUCAGGAAGAAUACCGGUGGCGAAGGCGACCUCCUGGUCUGAGACUGACGCUGAGGCGCGAAAGCGUGGGGAGCGAACA